UACGUAGGGACCAAGCGUUGUUCGGAUUCACUGGGCGUAAAGGGCACGUAGGCGGCUCAGCAAAUCAGUCGUGGAAUCCCGACGCUUACCGUCGGAACGGCGGCUGAAAAUACUGGGCUUGAGGGCGUGAGGGGUCACUGGAACUCCCGGUGAAGCGGUGAAAUGCGUAGAUAUCGGGAGGAACGCCGGAGGCGAAAGCGAGUGACUGGCGCGUUCCUGACGCUGAGGUGCGAAAGCUAGGGGAGCAAACAGG
This 253-nucleotide ribosomal RNA is filed under the name uncultured bacterium. RNAcentral describes it as "partial 16S ribosomal RNA". It matches the Rfam family "Bacterial small subunit ribosomal RNA", at positions 524 to 776 of the family's 1533-position model. The record is from RNAcentral.